Molecule: ribosomal RNA, 465 nt
Filed under: Vreelandella stevensii
Lineage: Bacteria; Pseudomonadati; Pseudomonadota; Gammaproteobacteria; Oceanospirillales; Halomonadaceae
Description: partial 16S ribosomal RNA
Rfam family: Bacterial small subunit ribosomal RNA
Source: RNAcentral
CCUACGGGGGGCAGCAGUGGGGAAUAUUGGACAAUGGGGGGAACCCUGAUCCAGCCAUGCCGCGUGUGUGAAGAAGGCCCUCGGGGUGUAAAGCACUUUCAGUGAGGAAGAACGCCUGGUGGUUAAUACCCAUCAGGAAAGACAUCACUCACAGAAGAAGCACCGGCUAACUCCGUGCCAGCAGCCGCGGUAAUACGGAGGGUGCGAGCGUUAAUCGGAAUUACUGGGCGUAAAGCGCGCGUAGGUGGCUUGAUAAGCCGGUUGUGAAAGCCCCGGGCUCAACCUGGGAACGGCAUCCGGAACUGUCAAGCUAGAGUGCAGGAGAGGAAGGUAGAAUUCCCGGUGUAGCGGUGAAAUGCGUAGAGAUCGGGAGGAAUACCAGUGGCGAAGGCGGCCUUCUGGACUGACACUGACACUGAGGUGCGAAAGCGUGGGUAGCAAACAGGAUUAGAUACCCCUGUAGUC